This is a long non-coding RNA of Dromaius novaehollandiae (emu), 5246 nucleotides long. RefSeq lists it as uncharacterized. The transcript is spliced from 3 exons. The record is from RefSeq and is a predicted model, not a curated record. Lineage: Eukaryota; Metazoa; Chordata; Aves; Casuariiformes; Dromaiidae.
UCUCCGCAGGAGCAUGCAUACACUCGGCAUCGAUCAUUUGAUUUUGUUUUGCAGGAGUGUCCGUCUGCUCCUGGCCUGUGUAACCCCAUUUACAGGAAUUCCUGGGUUCGAGCCCUGCUGCUGGCUGCUGUGACUGACAUUUUUCGUGUCCCUCCGCUUGCUUGCCAAGGCUCAGUGCCACCCCGGAGAGGCCACGCUCUCCCGUCCUGACCUUCUCCUUUGCUAUUAGCUCAUUGAUCCGCACUGAGAACAUCCAAAUGCUCUCUCCGGCUGAUGGAAGAAGGUGAGGACACCGGGCAGAAGCAGACUCACAAAUGAUCCAAGAGUCAUCCUCCAAGGUCAGACAAACCCAUGCUUGAAUGGUCUUUUUUUCCUGCACAUGUACAAGAUGCAUCACUUCACUCCGGGGAAGACGGCAGCAAAGUCUACGUUUCUGCCACUAGCUACUUCCAGUAAAUCAAAGCAAAUCAGACGCAGAUACCACAGGUUACUAAACUCUUCAGCUGACUUUAUUUUCGCUGUGGGGCAGGUGAUGCAUCUGACUCUAAAAUGUCUUGAUUUGUGUUUCCUCAUGGGGAAAAUCUCAAGCCACUCUUGGUGAUUCCAGUGGAUGUUUCCAUCUCCUGAAGGUUUCUGAUGGUGGCUCUUAGGAGUUGCUUUUGUCAAAAAGUGGUGGGAAGUGGGCAAAGAGACUUUUGUAGCCUUUCCCCUGGACUCCAUCUUGUUAAACAAAGUGGGCAGGAAAAAGCCUUCAGUGUAAUAUAGCCUUAAGAGCUGAUGAUACUGAGGAACCAAAUUACAAAGUGAAAGUCCCUCUGUAACAGGCAUGCACUGACCUGGCUGAGUUUAAGAGGAGUCACAGAGAGCUGGAUUCACUUUUAUCUGAACCAUCGGUGCCCAAGUGAUGGAAAGCAGUGCAGAUACAGGAUCCCAUCUUUCAAAGCAUCUGGGACCUGCCUGAAUUCUGGCUCUGCUCAGUGAUUGAAUUUAAUCCGAGCAGUGAAAACUGCUCAGGAGGGAGGGAGGGGUUACGAACCAGGUUGCAAUUCAUCUUGCAAAACACCUGCAAUGCUAAAGACUCAGGGAGAAGGUUCUGGUUCUGGUUGUACGGCACGACAGCAAAGCAGAGUGUCUCCGUUCAUGACAGCGUAUUGCAGUGUUUGAAUUACCACCUUGAUGAGAGGAAGUUUGUACCUAAAGGGAAGAUGCUGUGUGAAAAACACGACCUGCCUGGAGCAGGGUCGCUGAGUUCACAACAUCAAUAUCUAGUCGGCACCUACAGAUUGUUUCCAAAGCUCAUUAUUUCGGAGAACUGUUGCCCAUGUGAGUGGAACUCAUUACCUGAGAGGCCCGUUAUAUUUUCUAGGCACUGACAAAACGCGGGCAUUGCUUGGCUACCUUAAUUAAUGCAUGAUUACAAACCGAAAUAUAUCAUUUGUAUUCGUAUAUGUUUUCUGGUGCUCUAACUGGAGCCACCGAAAUCCAUCUUUCAGAGAAACCAUCAAAGGCCAAGCAGCCUGAUCCAGCAGGGCAAUUAGAGAUAUUUUUCCCUGUUCAUGCAGAGAACUUAACCUCAACUCUCCAGCAAGACUCCAAGACCAGGUCUGAAACUGCUGCAGCUAGACUGCAGCCUCGCCAGGGUUUGCCCCAUGCCUGUGGUCCUCUGCUGCGGAGGGCCUCCAUCCUCCCAGGGAAAUGAUACCAGCCUCCUCUACCAUGUGCAAACAACCUUGGGAGAAAUACUUCAUAUAUGUGAAGAACUUCUCUGCAACAGCUUGCAUAAUCAAUGAAAUCCCGUAUAUGAAAGGACACCAGCCUAAAUAUUUCAUUACAGGUGCCAACAGCAACACUUCAGGGUGCCCUUGAGGGUCACGUGAGUAUCUGGAGGUAAUGCUGAAUCUAUGAGCAGAUUAUCCAGCAUUGUCCUACUGUGGCCCAUAUCCUUGCACUCCUGAGCAAUAAACACAGGUGAGUGGCGAGGACAAAAACAUUUCCCUUGGCAAGAGUCUAAGCAACUUGGGUUUUUUUAGCCUGUUGCUAUAACUAUGGCUGCAACACGAUGAGACCCAACGGAGGCCCCCAGCAUGGAGCCCCAGGGAGGCUGCAACGGGAGGGAUGAGUGGCAGCAUGUCUCCUCCUAGGACAGACACUUCAGCAACAUCUCAUGGGAAUGGGCAUGUGGGUGUCCCAUCCCUUUCUUCCACUUUAUGAGUGAAACUCCCCAGCCAGGUUUUUCUACCCAGGCAGAUGUCCAGCAUCUAUAGGAUGAGUGACCCCAUGGAGCUGCUUGUUUGUCUCCUCUGACUUUGCAAGGAGCCUGAAAUGACCAGCUUAAACACCCAACUUUUAGAUAGCUGAAGUUAAAUGAGAUGAACUCCACUCUAAGUCUCCAAAAACACACCAGCACACCCAAGACGGACUGCAGUGAGUGGGCUCAGUCGCCUGGGAGAGUGGCUGAGAUGCUGACAUUGCCCCAGGGGCACUGGUGUGGCAUUCCCAAAUGGAAAUAUUUUCAAGUUUUGACUGAUAAUUUUGCAAUGUUCAAUCUUCUUCAUAAAAAAUAUGAAUUUUGUGGGGGAGGAAAAAAACUCUUCUAUUUCCUGACCCAGUGCAAGUUGAGAUCAGAAAUUCUCUUUGACAGCUGUCCUAUAAUCACAAAUGCUGAUUCAUCCAGCAAACACAACCUCCCUGCUGUAAGGCUGUUUCUGGGCCUGAGUGUGAUCCAACAACUUCCUAUGGAGAUGCUCCUUCAAUUUACAGAUCUCUUUCAACAGUCAGUUAAAGCUCCCUUUCACUGACAGCUGGCUUUAAAUCACAGGGGAAAGGUGUAAGACAAGUGUCUCUACUCAUUGUGCCUCAGGACCAAGCCAAGGUGGGAGGUCACCUUAUUGCUGGAACGUGGCCUGUCAAGCUGCUCCAGAGGAGAUGACUUCCCCUGCAAGCACCAAGGCAGCAUGCAGAUGUUUCUGACUUCGCUCCUAAAGCAUGUGGGGUCCUGGAAACCUCCCUGGCACUCUCUGAUCCAUUGCACUACUGCAUUAAAGGACAGAAAAGCCCUUCUUGCCAACAGAGCCUGGGUGCAUGAAUAAACCAUAAGCCACGUAGCCAUACCAGCAGCCUGCUGCUGCUGACAGCGAACCGGACCUUGCCUCGGCUGACCAGGUUGCCUUCAGCUGCCAAGCAGGGCCUGUACAACGGCCCCUCUGCAACACAGCCCGGACUCCCGACUCCACAAUGUGUCUUAAAAUCAUCUUAUGGCACCUCAAUAGGGUGUUACAGGGAUUACUCUGUAUUUGCCCAAGUUAGCACUGCCUUCCUGGGUGCUGCAGGCCAGCAGCUCCUAUUCUUUUGGUGGCUGGACUUCACUGCUGCUGCUUUACCUCCCCUCUCUCCCUCCUCUGAAUAUUGUCUCCUCCGCACCCCUUUUCUCCAUGCUUUCUCCUUUUUCCAUGCUAGGUCCCCAGUGCCAGUUGUCAGUGCCCCUUGUUCCCAAGCCCAACACAGGGUCCCCUUUCACGCCUUUCAGGUGAUGAAGUCCAAAGCUGCUGUGAGCUGUGACUGCAAAAUGCAAGGCCAGAGAAGUGUCCAGCAGAGCUGUGCCCAAACAGCGUAUCCACAGCUGUACAGGGAGCUUAUGGCAGAGCCUGAAGCCUGAGUCUGAUGGCCAGUCUGGGCAACGGCUCAUUAACAGGUCCUGUUAAUGACGUGCUGGAUCUGGUUCUGUGGACUGAAAAGCUGGAAAUGCCUGGAAACAGCCAGAUGCUCCUCUCAGAGCCACAGCACCUCCACAAACUAAAGGGGUUAGUGUGGUUCCUGCUGCUACGGCUGUGCAUAUGCAAUUUUGCAAUACGUUCUUCUGACAGUUUCAUAUCGCUGUAGCAUCUUGCCAUGCUGCCAGAUACCCCACCUGGUAAGGGAACUACGAGCUCCCCAACACUUACGCAGUACUAAUUCCAUAUCUUAACACACGGUUCUGCUGUGUCUCCCAUGGAGAGCAGCAGGAAGAUCCAGGCUAAUGUCUUCAUCUCAUCAGGUUCAAAUGUACCUUGCAAAGGUAGGACGAAGGCACAGCACAGACAAAGACCAGAUGAGAUCCCACCUGCCACCCAGAUACAGCAAUAAGAAGCAGGGGUGCAGCCCUGAACCCAUGCCAAGCCCAUCCUGGUCUGCGUGUCUCGGGGUCGGCCAGAGUGGAAUAUGUGGGAUGUGCUCUGGCUGCUAUCUAGAGGGAACCAAGCAGAUGAGGUCAAUGCUCUGCCUUCGUGCUCCUCAUUACAAAGCUUCCUGGUAAUUGAAGUUAAUAAACUGAAUAAGUGUCACUUCAAUCCCUGCUGUCCCCUCCUUUACCUCUCCUUUCCUUCCCUCCUGUCCUCUUCCUCACAGCCUCAUCUCUUAUUUCACCUCACAUCUCUCUAUCCUCACCUGAAUCCCCAGUUUGGGGUUCUUCUUUAGGAAAUGGGUAAUGUAAUAGGCAUACCAGUUAAGAAAAGAGGUUCUUGCUUUCUCUCUCUCAGGAGACAUUUUCUUUGAACCUGAGACCUCUGCCAUCCUAAGGGCCAGGAGGAUAUAAUAGACGUGCCACCCCCCGCAUCGCUUGGGGAACACGGAGGGUUGUGAGGCUCUUGGUUUGACAUCAGAGCUACGACCACGUGCACCAGAGCAGCUUCUCGGGGUGGCUUGCUGGGCAAGACAGCAUCUGCGCAGGCCUUCAGCCAGCUGCAGGCACCAACCAGACCAGCUAAGCCCCUUCUUCAGAGGGCAGUUUUGAGAAGGAUGUAAAUACUAGUUCUCUGAUUAACGCUCUGAAAACAUCUUCCUUCCCCUUGACUGUAGCGGGGGAAGAGAGAGCCUGGGGUGGUGAAGGUACGGAAAGCCUGGGAUGGUGAAAUUCCUGAUUCCACCAGCUCUGUAAGGUGCCUGCAGUGCUCUGAAUGCCCCAGGCUGCUUCCAGCUAUAUGCAGAUACGGCAAACUGGGGAAAUGCCUUUAUUUUUAUUUCCAGUGACUUGGUUUCAUUCCUGAGUUUCGUAUCGCUUCCUGCCAGACUGCUCGGAGUUAAAUCCAAGGAAGCUGUAAAACAGUUGCUGAAGAAUUAAGCAAGAAAGGUAAAGCAGACGCAGAUAAAACAGCCUCCGGUACACAGCUUCAAAGGAUUGCAGAGAACAGCGGCUGGACUGUCGAGGAGGGGAGGAUUUAGGGCCAGCUUCACCUGGGCCACGAUGUCCUACCCUUUCCUCACAUCAAAGA